AGCCCGCUCAGAAACUACAAAGGAAGUUCGACGGGGGCCCGCACAAGCGGAGGAACAUGUGGUUUAAUUCGAUGAUACGCGAGGAACCUUACCCGGGCUUGAAAUGCAUCUGACCGGCCUUGAAAGAGGCACUCCCUUCGGGGCAGAUGUGUAGGUGCUGCAUGGUUGUCGUCAGCUCGUGCCGUGAGGUGUCGGCUUAAGUGCCAUAACGAGCGCAACCCUCAUCAUUAGUUACCAUCAGGUAAGGCUGGGGACUCUAAUGAGACUGCCAUCGUAAGAUGUGAGGAAGGUGGGGAUGACGUCAAAUCAGCACGGCCCCUUACGUCCGGGGCGACACACGUGUUACAAUGGGUGGUACAAAGGGCAGCUACCUGGCGACAGGAUGCUAAUCUCGAAAACCGCUCUCAGUUCGGAUCGGAGUCUGCAACUCGACUCCGUGAAGCUGGAUUCGCUAGUAAUCGCGCAUCAGCCACGGCGCGGUGAAUACGUUCCCGGGCCUU
This 500-nucleotide ribosomal RNA is filed under the name uncultured Proteiniphilum sp. Its description in RNAcentral is "bacterial SSU rRNA". It matches the Rfam family "Bacterial small subunit ribosomal RNA", at positions 903 to 1382 of the family's 1533-position model. The record is from RNAcentral. Lineage: Bacteria; Pseudomonadati; Bacteroidota; Bacteroidia; Bacteroidales; Dysgonomonadaceae.